GGCGUGCCUAACACAUGCAAGUCGAGCGAUUUACUUCGGUAAAGAGCGGCGGACGGGUGAGUAACGCGUGGGUAACCUGCCCUGUACACACGGAUAACAUACCGAAAGGUAUGCUAAUACGAGAUAAUAUACUUUUAUCGCAUGGUAGAAGUGUCAAAGCUCUGGCGGUACAGGAUGGACCCGCGUCUGAUUAGCUAGUUGGUAAGGUAACGGCUUACCAAGGCGACGAUCAGUAGCCGACCUGAGAGGAUGAUCGGCCACAUUGGAACUGAGACACGGUCCAAACUCCUACGGGAGGCAGCAGUGGGGAAUAUUGCACAAUGGGCGAAAGCCUGAUGCAGCAACGCCGCGUGAGCGAUGAAGGCCUUCGGGUCGUAAAGCUCUGUCCUCAAGGAAGAUAAUGACGGUACUUGAGGAGGAAGCCCCGGCUAACUACGUGCCAGCAGCCGCGGUAAUACGUAGGGGGCUAGCGUUAUCCGGAAUUACUGGGCGUAAAGGGUGCGUAGGUGGUUUCUUAAGUCAGAGGUGAAAGGCUACGGCUCAACCGUAGUAAGCCUUUGAAACUGGGAAACUUGAGUGCAGGAGAGGAGAGUGGAAUUCCUAGUGUAGCGGUGAAAUGCGUAGAUAUUAGGAGGAACACCAGUUGCGAAGGCGGCUCUCUGGACUGUAACUGACACUGAGGCACGAAAGCGUGGGGAGCAAACAGGAUUAGAUACCCUGGUAGUCCACGCCGUAAACGAUGAGUACUAGCUGUCGGAGGUUACCCCCUUCGGUGGCGCAGCUAACGCAUUAAGUACUCCGCCUGGGAAGUACGCUCGCAAGAGUGAAACUCAAAUGAAUUGACGG
This 846-nucleotide ribosomal RNA is filed under the name uncultured Bacillota bacterium. RNAcentral's name for it is "bacterial SSU rRNA". It matches the Rfam family "Bacterial small subunit ribosomal RNA", at positions 41 to 916 of the family's 1533-position model. Lineage: Bacteria; Bacillati; Bacillota. The record is from RNAcentral.